ACGUAGGGCGCAAGCGUUGUCCGGAAUUAUUGGGCGUAAAGAGCUCGUAGGCGGUUAGUCGCGUCUGCUGUGAAAACCUGAGGCUCAACCUCGGGCUUGCAGUGGGUACGGGCUGACUAGAGUGCGGUAGGGGUGACUGGAAUUCCUGGUGUAGCGGUGGAAUGCGCAGAUAUCAGGAGGAACACCGAUGGCGAAGGCAGGUCACUGGGCCGCAACUGACGCUGAGGAGCGAAAGCAUGGGGAGCGAACAGGAUUAGAUACCCUGGUAGUCCAUGCCGUAAACGUUGGGCACUAGGUGUGGGGCUCAUUCCACGAGUUCCGUGCCGCAGCAAACGCAUUAAGUGCCCCGCCUGGGGAGUACGGCCGCAAGGCUA
RNAcentral lists this ribosomal RNA (374 nucleotides) under uncultured bacterium. Its description in RNAcentral is "bacterial SSU rRNA". It matches the Rfam family "Bacterial small subunit ribosomal RNA", at positions 525 to 896 of the family's 1533-position model. The record is from RNAcentral.